Molecule: ribosomal RNA, 490 nt
Filed under: uncultured bacterium
Lineage: Bacteria
Description: bacterial SSU rRNA
Rfam family: Bacterial small subunit ribosomal RNA
Source: RNAcentral
GGAUGAACGCUAGCGGCAGGCCUAACACAUGCAAGUCGAGGGGCAUCGCGGUGCAGCAAUGCACUGGCGGCGACCGGCGUACGGGUGCGUAACGCGUAUGCAACCUGCCCCGGCACCGGGGGAUAGCCCGCCGAAAGGCGGAUUAAUACCCCAGUGGCCCCGGGGGCCCGCGAUGGGCAUCCGGGUAAAGCCUUGGCGGUGCGGGAUGGGCAUGCGUGCCAUUAGCUGGCUGGUGGGGUAACGGCCCACCAGGGCAACGAUGGCUAGGGGUUCUGAGAGGAUGAUCCCCCACACUGGUACUGAGACACGGACCAGACUCCUACGGGAGGCAGCAGUGAGGAAUAUUGGUCAAUGGGCGCAAGCCUGAACCAGCCAUCCCGCGUGAAGGAUGAAUGUACUAUGUAUUGUAAACUUCUUUUCUGCAAAGAGAAAGGGCACUACGUGUAGUGUUUUGACGGUAUUGCAGGAAUAAGCAUCGGCUAACUCCGUG